UCUCUAGCCGACUUCUGUUUUCCAGUCCAAAAAACUCUGAAGUUUUCAUUCCCUCUCAGUCUAAAAACUCGAUUAACAACUCAAUCUUUAGACAAAAUCUCGAUUCAUUUUAAUUGAAGAAGAUUUCUCGAUUAAAUUAAGCAAAACAUUUCGUUUUAGAUAUGGGUUUUAGAGUUUUCUAAUGAUGAAGACUUGAUGUUCUCCCUUAACAAAAAAAACUCAGGUAUGAAGGAACAUGAUGAUUUAGCUCAUAGAAAAGUGUAUGUUGCUCAAAAGGGGCUUGUCAAGUAUCUUCUGUGGUUACUGGUAUGAGGGUGAAUGGCUGCAGAACAAUAUGAUUCAAUGCCAAGCGUUUGAUUGUAGGAGCUUCUGUGACACCGAUGUCCAAGUUGGUAUCAAGAACUGGCCAUUCAAUGUUCUAUCUCCCAUGAUUGAGGUCUCAUACAAGGGAGAAGAGAAGCAGUUCGCCGCUGAGGAAAUCUCAUCCAUGGACUGGAUUAAGAUGCGUGAGAUUGCUGAGGCAUACCUUGAUUCUAUAGUUAAGAACUUUUUUGUUACAGUCCCUGCAUACUUCAACGAAUCUCAACGUCAAGCUACAAAGGAUGCUAGGUCGUUGCUGGUCUUAAUGUUAUGGGUAUCAUCAAUGAGCCUACGGCUGCUGCCAUUUCCUGGUACUAGUACUUUUUAAUUUUUCAUGUUUAUUACUGACUAAUACUAGUUUGUUUAUAUGUAUGGACUUUGGAAAAUGAAUUGAGAAUUCAGACUAAUUCAAACUAAUACUAGUUUGUUUAUAUGUAUGGACUUUGCAAAAUGAAUUGAGAAUUCAGAAGAAGAUUACCAUUUCACUAUGCAAAGAUAUCAGGUAAUGAUGGAGGAUUUGAUACUAACUGUAAUAUUAGCUAUAUGUAAUGCUUGCUUUUUCUCAAUGAGUGGAUAUUUAUUACAUGGGUAUGGUUGCUUUUUAUUAUAUUCUUUUUGUUGUUAUAUAAAUAAUAGUAAAAUUGAAGUACUUAACUUAUUAUAAUAAACUGGUUGAUGCUCUUCAGUGCUAUCUUUCCAACUGAGAUACAGACAAUGAAUUAUGAUUUUUUUAUUUUGGUGGAGUUGAUAGUGGUGCCUUUGUGGCAUCUGAGAUUGUACACUCAAUUAACAUUCAUCCUUAGCGAAAGCAUGCCUGCGGCACAAAUACUGAAGAAAAUGUCUAUGAGAAUCAUGUUACUCAGGUGCUCAAUAGGAUAUAAUCCAAGAUAAUUGGCUCUAUGGUGUUGAACACAAUCAUUAUUCACAAUUAAAUAUGGACCUGCUAGGUGUUACAGGCAGAUUAAGAACAAGCCUUACCCAAAGUCAAGGUACUGUCGUGGCAUGAAAAAGAAAGGAGUUGAUGAGUUCCUUUCUGUGUCCAUUUGGUGAGUUCCGUUUCUGUGUCCAUUAGAAUUUAUGAUGUUGGCAACAAGUACAUGACCAAGUCUGCUGGGAAGGAUGCUUUCCAUUUGAGAUUCAGGGUACAUCCUUACUAUAUAUGUCUUGUGUAUCAUCAAUCUCUUGUUCAGUAAUAUCAUCUCUUUAUAUAAA
This is an RNA transcript of Papaver somniferum (opium poppy), 1572 nucleotides long. It is a transcript of the gene named chaperone protein HscA homolog, with no coding region annotated. The transcript is spliced from 8 exons. NCBI's taxonomy places the organism in Eukaryota, Viridiplantae, Streptophyta, Magnoliopsida, Ranunculales, Papaveraceae. The record is from RefSeq and is a predicted model, not a curated record.